Herpailurus yagouaroundi (jaguarundi) is the source of this 121-nucleotide long non-coding RNA. RefSeq lists it as uncharacterized. The record is from RefSeq and is a predicted model, not a curated record. The transcript is spliced from 3 exons. NCBI's taxonomy places the organism in Eukaryota, Metazoa, Chordata, Mammalia, Carnivora, Felidae.
UCUUUCCCUACACGACUUCUUACGUUGUGGCACUGGAGCGGGGAAAAAUCCCUUGGGUUAAAUGAUCUACCUCUUUAGAGUCUGCUUUCUAGGAAAGAAGCUGCUUUAGUGAUGAGACAAC